AAGGACAUAUCGCUCGGGAUUGUACGGUAGCGAAACCUAGUUCAGCGGGGACGGUGACUCAAAAGAUUGUCCCAGAAAAGUCAAAGUCAAUGGUUCCUGGAAGAGCGUUUGUUGUGACUGGUCAAAAUGCGAGGAACCCAAACGAGAUGAUCACGGGUAAGCUAAUCAUAAAUUCUUUUGAAGUUUAUACUUUACUAGAUACCGGUGCUACCCAUUCAUUUAUCUCUCCUACUUGUGCUCAACGUUUAAAUUUGACUCCAGAAAAAUUAGACUUUGACCUAU
RNAcentral lists this long non-coding RNA (282 nucleotides) under Panax ginseng (ginseng). RNAcentral describes it as "long non-coding RNA (PGIN_LNC007921)". The record is from RNAcentral. Lineage: Eukaryota; Viridiplantae; Streptophyta; Magnoliopsida; Apiales; Araliaceae.